Molecule: unclassified non-coding RNA, 148 nt
Organism: Papio anubis (olive baboon)
Lineage: Eukaryota; Metazoa; Chordata; Mammalia; Primates; Cercopithecidae
Rfam family: Metazoan signal recognition particle RNA
About the family: The signal recognition particle (SRP) is a universally conserved ribonucleoprotein. It is involved in the co-translational targeting of proteins to membranes.
Source: Ensembl
GCCAGGUGUGGUGGCGGGCGCCUGUAGUCCCAGCUACUUGGGAGGCUGAGGCAGAAGAAUCGCUUGAACUCGGGAGGCGGAGCUUGCAGUGAGCCAAGAUCGCGCCACUGCACUCCACCCUGGGUGACAGAGCGAGACUCUGUCUCCA